RNAcentral lists this ribosomal RNA (983 nucleotides) under Lactobacillus sp. Ammohmt5. RNAcentral describes it as "bacterial SSU rRNA". It matches the Rfam family "Bacterial small subunit ribosomal RNA", at positions 51 to 1000 of the family's 1533-position model. Lineage: Bacteria; Bacillati; Bacillota; Bacilli; Lactobacillales; Lactobacillaceae. The record is from RNAcentral.
CUAUAAUGCAGUCGAGCGAGCGAAUUGGACGGAAUACUUCGGUAGGAAGUGCAAUGAGCGAGCGGCGGAUGGGUGAGUAACACGUAGGCAAUCUACCCUUAAGCGGGGGAUAACACCUGGAAACAGGUGCUAAUACCGCAUAAAACUAAGGACGCCUGUUCUAAAGUUAAAAGACGGUGAGAGCUGUCACUUAAGGAUGAGCCUGCGGCGUAUUAGCUAGUUGGCAAGGUAAGAGCUUACCAAGGCGAUGAUACGUAGCCGACCUGAGAGGGUAAUCGGCCACAUUGGGACUGAGACACGGCCCAAACUCCUACGGGAGGCAGCAGUAGGGAAUCUUCCACAAUGGACGCAAGUCUGAUGGAGCAACGCCGCGUGGAUGAAGAAGGUCUUCGGAUCGUAAAAUCCUGUUGUUGAAGAAGAACGUAUGUGAGAGUAACUGCUCAGAUAGUGACGGUAUUCAACCAGAAAGUCACGGCUAACUACGUGCCAGCAGCCGCGGUAAUACGUAGGUGGCAAGCGUUGUCCGGAUUUAUUGGGCGUAAAGGGAGCGCAGGCGGUUAAAUAAGUCUGGGAUGUGAAAGCCCUCAGCUCAACUGAGGAAUUGCAACGGAAACUGUUUAACUUGAGUGCAGAAGAGGAGAGUGGAACUCCAUGUGUAGCGGUGAAAUGCGUAGAUAUAUGGAAGAACACCAGUGGCGAAGGCGGCUCUCUGGUCUGUCACUGACGCUGAGGCUCGAAAGCAUGGGUAGCGAACAGGAUUAGAUACCCUGGUAGUCCAUGCCGUAAACGAUGAGUGCUAAGUGUUGGGAGGUUUCCGCCUUUCAGUGCUGCAGCAAACGCAUUAAGCACUCCGCCUGGGGAGUACGACCGCAAGGUUGAAACUCAAAGGAAUUGACAGGGGCCCGCACAAGCGGUGGAGCAUGUGGUUUAAUUCGAAGCAACGCGAAGAACCUUACCAGGUCUUGACAUCUCCUGCGAGCCUA